UACGUAGGUGGCGAGCGUUAUCCGGAAUUACUGGGCGUAAAGGGCACGCAGGCGGCCCAUCAAGUCUGACGUGAAAGCUCCUGGCUUAACUGGGAGAGGUCGUUGGAAACUGAGGGGCUUGAGGCGAUGAGAGGGGUGCGGAAUUCCCGGUGUAGUGGUGGAAUGCGUAGAUAUCGGGAGGAACACCAGUGGCGAAAGCGGCGCCCUAGCAUCGGCCUGACGCUCAUGUGCGAAAGCGUGGGGAGCGAAC
This 250-nucleotide ribosomal RNA is filed under the name uncultured bacterium. RNAcentral describes it as "partial 16S ribosomal RNA". It matches the Rfam family "Bacterial small subunit ribosomal RNA", at positions 524 to 773 of the family's 1533-position model. The record is from RNAcentral.